UUAAGCGACUAAGCGUACACGGUGGAUGCCCUGGCAGUCAGAGGCGAUGAAGGACGUGCUAAUCUGCGAAAAGCGUCGGUAAGGUGAUAUGAACCGUUAUAACCGGCGAUGUCCGAAUGGGGAAACCCAGUGCAAUUCGUUGCACUAUCGUUAACUGAAUACAUAGGUUAACGAGGCGAACCGGGGGAACUGAAACAUCUAAGUACCCCGAGGAAAAGAAAUCAACCGAGAUUCCCCCAGUAGCGGCGAGCGAACGGGGAGCAGCCCAGAGUCUGAAUCAGCUUGUGUGUUAGUGGAACGGUCUGGAAAGUCCGACGGUACAGGGUGAUAGUCCCGUACACCAAAAUGCACAGGCUGUGAACUCGAAGAGUAGGGCGGGACACGUGGUAUCCUGUCUGAAUAUGGGGGGACCAUCCUCCAAGGCUAAAUACUCCUGACUGACCGAUAGUGAACCAGUACCGUGAGGGAAAGGCGAAAAGAACCCCGGCGAGGGGAGUGAAAAAGAACCUGAAACCGUGUACGUACAAGCAGUGGGAGCACCUUCGGGUGUGACUGCGUACCUUUUGUAUAAUGGGUCAGCGACUUAUAUUCUGUAGCAAGGUUAACCGUAUAGGGGAGCCGCAGGGAAACCGAGUCUUAACUGGGCGUUAAGUUGCAGGGUAUAGACCCGAAACCCGGUGAUCUAGCCAUGGGCAGGUUGAAGGUUGGGUAACACUAACUGGAGGACCGAACCGACUAAUGUUGAAAAAUUAGCGGAUGACUUGUGGCUGGGGGUGAAAGGCCAAUCAAACCGGGAGAUAGCUGGUUCUCCCCGAAAGCUAUUUAGGUAGCGCCUCGUGAACUCAUCUUCGGGGGUAGAGCACUGUUUCGGCUAGGGGGUCAUCCCGACUUACCAACCCGAUGCAAACUACGAAUACCGAAGAAUGUUAUCACGGGAGACACACGGCGGGUGCUAACGUCCGUCGUGAAGAGGGAAACAACCCAGACCGCCAGCUAAGGUCCCAAAGUCAUGGUUAAGUGGGAAACGAUGUGGGAAGGCACAGACAGCCAGGAUGUUGGCUUAGAAGCAGCCAUCAUUUAAAGAAAGCGUAAUAGCUCACUGGUCGAGUCGGCCUGCGCGGAAGAUGUAACGGGGCUAAACCAUGCACCGAAGCUGCGGCAGCGACACUAUGUGUUGUUGGGUAGGGGAGCGUUCUGUAAGCCUGCGAAGGUGUGCUGUGAGGCAUGCUGGAGGUAUCAGAAGUGCGAAUGCUGACAUAAGUAACGAUAAAGCGGGUGAAAAGCCCGCUCGCCGGAAGACCAAGGGUUCCUGUCCAACGUUAAUCGGGGCAGGGUGAGUCGACCCCUAAGGCGAGGCCGAAAGGCGUAGUCGAUGGGAAACAGGUUAAUAUUCCUGUACUUGGUGUUACUGCGAAGGGGGGACGGAGAAGGCUAUGUUAGCCGGGCGACGGUUGUCCCGGUUUAAGCAUGUAGGCUGGUUAUCCAGGCAAAUCCGGAUAAUCAAGGCUGAGGUGUGAUGACGAGGCACUACGGUGCUGAAGUAACAAAUGCCCUGCUUCCAGGAAAAGCCUCUAAGCAUCAGGUAACAUCAAAUCGUACCCCAAACCGACACAGGUGGUCAGGUAGAGAAUACCAAGGCGCUUGAGAGAACUCGGGUGAAGGAACUAGGCAAAAUGGUGCCGUAACUUCGGGAGAAGGCACGCUGGUGUGUAGGUGAAGUCCCUGCGGAUGGAGCUGAGACCAGUCGAAGAUACCAGCUGGCUGCAACUGUUUAUUAAAAACACAGCACUGUGCAAACACGAAAGUGGACGUAUACGGUGUGACGCCUGCCCGGUGCCGGAAGGUUAAUUGAUGGGGUUAUCCGUAAGGAGAAGCUCUUGAUCGAAGCCCCGGUAAACGGCGGCCGUAACUAUAACGGUCCUAAGGUAGCGAAAUUCCUUGUCGGGUAAGUUCCGACCUGCACGAAUGGCGUAAUGAUGGCCAGGCUGUCUCCACCCGAGACUCAGUGAAAUUGAACUCGCUGUGAAGAUGCAGUGUACCCGCGGCAAGACGGAAAGACCCCGUGAACCUUUACUAUAGCUUGACACUGAACAUUGAGCCUUGAUGUGUAGGAUAGGUGGGAGGCUUUGAAGCGUGGACGCCAGUCUGCGUGGAGCCAACCUUGAAAUACCACCCUUUAAUGUUUGAUGUUCUAACGUUGGCCCCUGACCGGGGUUGCGGACAGUGUCUGGUGGGUAGUUUGACUGGGGCGGUCUCCUCCCAAAGCGUAACGGAGGAGCACGAAGGUUAGCUAAUCCUGGUCGGACAUCAGGAGGUUAGUGCAAUGGCAUAAGCUAGCUUGACUGCGAGCGUGACGGCGCGAGCAGGUGCGAAAGCAGGUCAUAGUGAUCCGGUGGUUCUGAAUGGAAGGGCCAUCGCUCAACGGAUAAAAGGUACUCCGGGGAUAACAGGCUGAUACCGCCCAAGAGUUCAUAUCGACGGCGGUGUUUGGCACCUCGAUGUCGGCUCAUCACAUCCUGGGGCUGAAGUAGGUCCCAAGGGUAUGGCUGUUCGCCAUUUAAAGUGGUACGCGAGCUGGGUUUAGAACGUCGUGAGACAGUUCGGUCCCUAUCUGCCGUGGGCGCUGGAGAAUUGAGGGGGGCUGCUCCUAGUACGAGAGGACCGGAGUGGACGCAUCACUGGUGUUCGGGUUGUCAUGCCAAUGGCACUGCCCGGUAGCUAAAUGCGGAAGAGAUAAGUGCUGAAAGCAUCUAAGCACGAAACUUGCCCCGAGAUGAGUUCUCCCUGAGACU
This 2792-nucleotide ribosomal RNA is filed under the name Klebsiella pneumoniae. RNAcentral's name for it is "bacterial LSU rRNA". It matches the Rfam family "Bacterial large subunit ribosomal RNA". Lineage: Bacteria; Pseudomonadati; Pseudomonadota; Gammaproteobacteria; Enterobacterales; Enterobacteriaceae. The record is from RNAcentral.